AACACCACACGGGUCGAUACGUGCAAUAUUUAGUACCCAUCGUUUACAGCUAAGACUACUGGGGUAUCUAAUCCCAUUUGCUACCUUAGCUUUCGUCUCUCAGUGUCAGUAAUACCCUAAUAGAAUGCUUUCGCCAUCGGUGUUCUUUCCAAUAUCUACGCAUUUCACCACUCCACUGGAAAUUCCUUCUACUUCGACCAUACUCUAGUUAAGCAGUUUCUACCGCAUCUUCGAAGUUAAGCCUCGAUCUUUAACAAUAGACUUACAAAACAACCUACAGACGCUUUACGCCCAAUAAUUCCGGAUAACACUUGCAUCCUCCGUCUUACCGCGGCUGCUGGCACGGAGUUAGCCGAUGCUUAUUCUUCAAGUACACGUCAGAACUUCCUCCUUGAAAAAAGAGGUUUACGACCCAAAGGCUGUCAUCCCUCACGCGGCAUUGCUCUGUCAGGCUUGCGCCCAUUGCAGAAAAUUCCUCACUGCUGCCUCCCGUAGGAGUUUGGACCGUGUCUCAGUUCCAAUGUGGCUGAUCAUCCUCUCAAAUCAACUACUGAUCAUCGUCUUGGUCAGCUUUUACCUAACCAACUAACUAAUCAGACGCGAGCUUAUUUCUAGAUAGACUUUCUUUUCACUGUAAAGCAUAUAAGGGUUUAAUACAAAUAGUAUCCCUUUUCUAGGAGGUAAAUUCUCACGUGUUACUCACCCGUCCGCCACUAAAAUAAUUUCGUACGACUUGCAUGUGUUAGGCAUGCCGCUAGCGUUCAUCCUGAGCCAGGAUCAAACUCU
Molecule: ribosomal RNA, 786 nt
Filed under: uncultured bacterium
Lineage: Bacteria
Description: partial 16S ribosomal RNA
Source: RNAcentral